RNAcentral lists this ribosomal RNA (425 nucleotides) under uncultured bacterium. RNAcentral's name for it is "bacterial SSU rRNA". It matches the Rfam family "Bacterial small subunit ribosomal RNA", at positions 28 to 451 of the family's 1533-position model. The record is from RNAcentral.
GAUGAACGCUGGCGGCGUGCUUAACACAUGCAAGUCGAACGGGAUCCAGGCAGCUUGCUGCCUGGUGAGAGUGGCGAACGGGUGAGUAAUGCGUGACCGACCUGCCCCAUACACCGGAAUAGCUCCUGGAAACGGGUGGUAAUGCCGGAUGCUCCGACUCCUCGCAUGGGGUGUCGGGAAAGAUUUCAUCGGUAUGGGAUGGGGUCGCGUCCUAUCAGGUAGUCGGCGGGGUAACGGCCCACCGAGCCUACGACGGGUAGCCGGCCUGAGAGGGCGACCGGCCACAUUGGGACUGAGAUACGGCCCAGACUCCUACGGGAGGCAGCAGUGGGGAAUAUUGCACAAUGGGCGCAAGCCUGAUGCAGCGACGCCGCGUGCGGGAUGACGGCCUUCGGGUUGUAAACCGCUUUUGAUCGGGAGCAAGC